AGAUUGAACGCUGGCGGCAUGCCUAACACAUGCAAGUCGAGCGGCAGCGCGGGGGCGACCCUGGCGGCGAGCGGCGGACGGGUGAGUAAGGCAUCGGAAUCUGCCCUGAUGUGGGGGAUAACGUAGGGAAACUUACGCUAAUACCGCAUACGACCGAGAGUGAAAGCGGGGGACCAAAGGCCUCGCGCAGCAGGAUGAGCCGAUGUCCGAUUAGCUAGUUGGUGGGGUAACGCCUACCAAGGCGACGAUCGGUAGCUGGUCUGGAGAGGACGACCAGCCACACUGGGACUGAGACACGGCCCAGGCUCCGUACGGGGAGGCAGCCUGAGC
RNAcentral lists this ribosomal RNA (330 nucleotides) under uncultured prokaryote. RNAcentral's name for it is "bacterial SSU rRNA". It matches the Rfam family "Bacterial small subunit ribosomal RNA", at positions 26 to 359 of the family's 1533-position model. The record is from RNAcentral.